GGCGAAAGCCUGACCCAGCGACGCCGCGUGGGGGACGAAGGCCUUCGGGUCGUAAACCCCUGUUCUGGGGGAAGAACCAGGUCGUAGCGAAUAGCUAUGGCCUGCUGACGGUACCCCAGGAGAAAGCCACGGCUAACUGCGUGCCAGCAGCCGCGGUAAUACGCAGGUGGCAAGCGUUGCCCGGAAUCACUGGGCGUAAAGGGUGCGUAGGCGGCAAGGCAAGUCGCAGGUCAAAGCCCGGGGCUCAACCCCGGAAGGGCCUGCGAUACUGUUUUGCUUGAGGGCCGGAGAGGCUGGCGGAAUUCCCGGUGUAGGGGUGAAAUCCGUAGAUAUCGGGAGGAACACCGGUGGGGAAGCCUGCCAGCUGGACGGUUCCUGACGCUGAGGCACGAAAGCGUGGGGAGCAAACCGGAUUAGAUACCCGGGUAGUCCACGCCGUAAACGAUGGGUGCUAGGUCUGGGGAGGAAACUCUCUGGGCCGCAGCUAACGCGUUAAGCACCCCGCCUGGGGAGUACGGCCGCAAGGCUGAAACUCAAAGGAAUUGACGGGGGCCCGCACAAGCGGUGGAGCACGUGGUUUAAUUCGAUGCAAAGCGAAGAACCUUACCUGGGUUUGACAUGCCAGGGUUGUACCCCGAUAAAAUAUUGGGGGGAGUGUUGGGGUUUCCUCGCACGCUCUGGCACAGGUGCUGCAUUGGCUUGUCGUCAGCUCGUGUCGU
Molecule: ribosomal RNA, 719 nt
Filed under: uncultured Thermodesulfobacteriota bacterium
Lineage: Bacteria; Pseudomonadati; Thermodesulfobacteriota
Description: bacterial SSU rRNA
Rfam family: Bacterial small subunit ribosomal RNA
Source: RNAcentral